Molecule: ribosomal RNA, 223 nt
Filed under: uncultured bacterium
Lineage: Bacteria
Description: partial 16S ribosomal RNA
Rfam family: Bacterial small subunit ribosomal RNA
Source: RNAcentral
GAUCAUGGCUCAGGAUGAACGCUAGCUACAGGCUUAACACAUGCAAGUCGAGGGGCAGCAUGGUCUUAGCUUGCUAAGGCUGAUGGCGACCGGCGCACGGGUGAGUAACACGUAUCCAACCUGCCGUCUACUCUUGGCCAGCCUUCUGAAAGGAAGAUUAAUUCCAGGAUGGCAUCAUGAGUUCACAUGUCCGCAUGAUUUAAAGGUAUUUUCCGGUAGACGA